RNAcentral lists this transfer RNA (73 nucleotides) under Ailuropoda melanoleuca (giant panda). It matches the Rfam family "tRNA". From Rfam's summary of the family: Transfer RNA (tRNA) molecules are approximately 80 nucleotides in length. Their secondary structure includes four short double-helical elements and three loops (D, anti-codon, and T loops). Further hydrogen bonds mediate the characteristic L-shaped molecular structure. tRNAs have two regions of fundamental functional importance: the anti-codon, which is responsible for specific mRNA codon recognition, and the 3' end, to which the tRNAs corresponding amino acid is attached (by aminoacyl-tRNA synthetases). tRNAs cope with the degeneracy of the genetic code in two manners: having more than one tRNA (with a specific anti-codon) for a particular amino acid; and 'wobble' base-pairing, i.e. permitting non-standard base-pairing at the 3rd anti-codon position. Lineage: Eukaryota; Metazoa; Chordata; Mammalia; Carnivora; Ursidae. The record is from Rfam by way of RNAcentral.
GCCUGGCUGGCUCAGUCUGUAGAGCAUGUGACUCUUGAUUUCAGGGUUGUGAGUUCAAGCCCCACAUUGGGUG